CCUACGGGGGGCAGCAGUGGGGAAUAUUGGACAAUGGGGGGAACCCUGAUCCAGCCAUGCCGCGUGUGUGAAGAAGGCCCUCGGGUUGUAAAGCACUUUCAGUGAGGAAGAACGCCUGGUGGUUAAUACCCAUCAGGAAAGACAUCACUCACAGAAGAAGCACCGGCUAACUCCGUGCCAGCAGCCGCGGUAAUACGGAGGGUGCGAGCGUUAAUCGGAAUUACUGGGCGUAAAGCGCGCGUAGGUGGCUUGAUAAGCCGGGUGUGAAAGCCCCGGGCUCAACCUGGGAACGGCAUCCGGAACUGUCAAGCUAGAGGGCAGGAGAGGAAGGUAGAAUUCCCGGUGUAGCGGUGAAAUGCGUAGAGAUCGGGAGGAAUACCAGUGGCGAAGGCGGCCUUCUGGACUGACACUGACACUGAGGUGCGAAAGCGUGGGUAGCAAACAGGAUUAGAUACCCCUGUAGUC
Molecule: ribosomal RNA, 465 nt
Filed under: Vreelandella stevensii
Lineage: Bacteria; Pseudomonadati; Pseudomonadota; Gammaproteobacteria; Oceanospirillales; Halomonadaceae
Description: partial 16S ribosomal RNA
Rfam family: Bacterial small subunit ribosomal RNA
Source: RNAcentral